ACCAGCAGCCAUAUCACCCUGCAACUCACAACUGGCAGCCCACGGAAGCUAAGCAGGCGUGAGCCUGGUCAGUACCUGGAUGCGAGACCUCCUGGGAAAAACUAAAGUUGCUGCUGGAG
This 119-nucleotide ribosomal RNA is filed under the name Lepisosteus oculatus (spotted gar). The record is from RNAcentral. Lineage: Eukaryota; Metazoa; Chordata; Actinopteri; Semionotiformes; Lepisosteidae.